AACCUCUCUCCAUGUAGAAUUACACAUUCCCGGACGUCAUUAUCUGAAGUGAAAUUGAAAAUCCAGCAGAUGGCGCAGGAACUCCGUUCAAGAUAUGCAGAUGAACGUGGUACAUUCCGGUGUUUGGAAAUCGCUCCCAAGGAUGGACCAGACUUGUGGAGGAGGUCUGCAAUUUGGCUGAUAUCUUUUGAUUUUCCCACGAUGUCAAGCAAAGAGGCACUGAGUUGGAAGGAACAACUUUGCAGACAACCACCGCCACAACAUGUAAAAUCCUCAAAGGUCGCUGCGAGAAGCGGCACUGCCUUUUCAACAGAACUCUGCUUAUUAUCGGAUGUAUGUAUUACAGUAGGUUAUGAAAUCGGACUUUUUGGAUAUAAUGUUAUGAUAUGUUAAAGAUCCCAUUGAACGAUUAA
Long non-coding RNA from Oncorhynchus kisutch (coho salmon), 413 nucleotides. RefSeq lists it as uncharacterized. Lineage: Eukaryota; Metazoa; Chordata; Actinopteri; Salmoniformes; Salmonidae. The transcript has 3 exons. The record is from RefSeq and is a predicted model, not a curated record.